UUCUUCAGUCUGUCAAACUCCCUUUGAGAUUUCUGUUCCAGGCAUCUUGCAGCACCAGAGCACUGCCCUCAGCCUAUUUGUGAAAGCAAACUAUAUUAGGUGUAAGUUUUUGUACAGCAAUUCCUUUUCCAGUGAACACUUGCACCUUUUCUUUGUUGGAAGGAAUUAUUGAAUCCAUGAGGAAUCUUCAGGUACAAAAAGAAGGCUGUUUGGAAUUUCACCUGGAAUUUCUUCACGUGUAAAAACAGACUGAAAGGAGGAGAAGAAGAAACACCCCAUACAUGGGCAGAGCCCACUACGUGUCAGACUCUCAUCCUCAGAAGAUCUGAAUUUUGCAUCACUGAACAAAGAGCUCUGGAGUGA
This 363-nucleotide long non-coding RNA is filed under the name Coturnix japonica (Japanese quail). RNAcentral's name for it is "lncRNA (ENSCJPG00005017195.1)". The record is from RNAcentral. Lineage: Eukaryota; Metazoa; Chordata; Aves; Galliformes; Phasianidae.